GUUGGUAGGGUAAAGGCCUACCAAGGCGAGGACGGGUAGGGGGUGUGAGAGCACGACCCCCCACAAUGGGACUGAGAGACGGCCCAUACUCCUACGGGAGGCAGCAGCAGGGAAUAUUGCACAAUGGACGGAAGUCUGAUGCAGCGACGCCGCGUGGAUGAAGGAGGCCUUCGGGUUGUAAAAUCCUUUUCGGGGGGAAGAGGAAGGACGGUACCCCCGGAAUAAGCGUCGGCUAACUACGUGCCAGCAGCCGCGGUAAUACGUAGGACGCGAGCGUUAUCCGGAUUUACUGGGCGUAAAGCGUCUGUAGGCGGACUUGUAAGUUGGACGUGAAAGCUCCGGGCUUAACCCGGAGAGGUCGUUCAAUACUGCGAGACUAGAGGGCGUGAGAGGGGAGCGGAAUUCCCGGUGUAGCGGUAAAAUGCGCAGAUAUCGGGAGGAACACCAGUGGCGCAGGCGGCUCCCUGGUACGCACCUGACGCUGAGAGACGAAAGCUAGGGGAGCGAACAGGAUUAGAGACCCUGGUAGUCCUAGCCCUAAACGCUGAUGCUAGGUGUGGGGCCGAACAGGCUCUGUGCCGCAGCUAACGCG
RNAcentral lists this ribosomal RNA (592 nucleotides) under uncultured bacterium. Its description in RNAcentral is "bacterial SSU rRNA". It matches the Rfam family "Bacterial small subunit ribosomal RNA", at positions 248 to 859 of the family's 1533-position model. The record is from RNAcentral.